Long non-coding RNA from Perognathus longimembris pacificus (Pacific pocket mouse), 153 nucleotides. RefSeq lists it as uncharacterized. NCBI's taxonomy places the organism in Eukaryota, Metazoa, Chordata, Mammalia, Rodentia, Heteromyidae. The transcript is spliced from 3 exons. The record is from RefSeq and is a predicted model, not a curated record.
GGACUUGGAAAAAAAUUAUACAAAGUGAAGUGAACCAGACCCAAAGAAAUAUGGACUCUGUGGAUUCUCUCAUAGGGAAUAAUUAGUACAUGUUUAGGCUAUUCAUAGCAGAAGAUCACAAAAGCUCAAUAGCUGUGUGCAUAUGGUCACAUA